GAGAAGUUCAGUAUGUUUGAAAGCAUAAUUAGGAAACUUUUUAACAUGUACUUUCUCCCUGCACUCUAAACCCCAAGGUUUAGAGAAAGUUAGGAAAUAUUUAACUUCCCACACGCUUUUAUUUACAGAGCAGUCCCCCCUUGUCUGUGAUUUCACUUUUCACGGUUUCAGUUAUCUGCAUUCAACCAUGGUCCAAAAAUAUUAAAUGGGAAACUCGGCCAGGCAUGGUGGCCCACACCUGUAAUCCCCACACAUUGGGAGGCCUAGGUGGGUGAAUCAUUGAGCCCAGGAGUUCAAGACCAGCCUGGGCAACAUACCGAGAACCUUGUUUCUACAAAAAAUACAAAAAUUAGCCGAGGGUGGUGGGACGCACCUGCUGUCCCAGUAACUCAGGAGACUGAGCUGUGAGGAUGGAUUGAGACUAGGAGGUCAAGGCUGUGGUGAGAUGUGAUUGCACCACUGUACUCCAGCCUGGGUGAUAGAGUGAGACCCUGGCCACUGACCCCCACCCCACAAAAAAAAA
RNAcentral lists this long non-coding RNA (523 nucleotides) under Homo sapiens (human). RNAcentral describes it as "non-protein coding lnc-ZNF121-3:1". Lineage: Eukaryota; Metazoa; Chordata; Mammalia; Primates; Hominidae. The record is from RNAcentral.